UUACAGCGAAGACAUUCCCAAUGAAGAUGAGGAUGAUCUAGAAGAUGAUGCAGAACGGAAUAAUGAAAAUCGGUCCUCAUGAAUGUGAAUAAUAUUUUCUAUCAACCAAGAGGUUUAUUAGUGCAAAAAGAUUGAUGGCAAUAUCUUGCUAUACUAUGAGGCUUUACUUGUUUGUGAAGUUGGCAACUUGGUUUAAUGGCCCACACUUUUCCAAGUUUCAUCGGUAGAGGAGAGCACCUAUACAAGUUUCAUCAGUAGAGGAGAGCACCUAUACAAGUUUCUUUCUUUCUUUCUAUCUAAAAUAAUGUAUAAACAUCAAAUAUUAUAUCAAUAGCUAUUUUCACAGUCAUUCAUUAUAUGAGCUUGAAUUUGGAAUCUCAAAUUUUUUGGGGCUUUUCUAAUUGAAUUGAUGUUAUUAAUAUGGAUAAAUGACAAUAGCAUGGAGUUUGUAUCUUGCUUCUUGCAAAUUUAGUAA
RNAcentral lists this long non-coding RNA (475 nucleotides) under Gossypium barbadense (sea-island cotton). RNAcentral describes it as "long non-coding RNA (GBAR_LNC013092)". Lineage: Eukaryota; Viridiplantae; Streptophyta; Magnoliopsida; Malvales; Malvaceae. The record is from RNAcentral.